RNAcentral lists this long non-coding RNA (311 nucleotides) under Olea europaea (common olive). RNAcentral describes it as "long non-coding RNA (OEUR_LNC007865)". Lineage: Eukaryota; Viridiplantae; Streptophyta; Magnoliopsida; Lamiales; Oleaceae. The record is from RNAcentral.
CUCUUGGUGAGAUUCUCGACUGCUUCUUUGUGAUCUCUGUCGCCUUCUUUCAUGCGAUCUCUUUGUGAGACCUUUCUACCUUACCUUCAUCGGCACCUUAGCCGGAGUCUUGGCUACCGGCUUUGUCCCUGUUCUGCUUGAUUUUUUUCUUGCUGGUUCGACCUCUUCUUCCAUCCUCGCCGCUACCCUUUUUGCUACCUUCAUAUGAGGUGGUUCUGAAUGAUUCUAGUGGAUGUUUCCUUCGUGGCUUCAAGUGGGAUUUUUGGUUCCUUCUAGUGAAGCUACCUUAUGUAUAGUUGGGUCAAUGAUCU